RNAcentral lists this ribosomal RNA (446 nucleotides) under uncultured bacterium. RNAcentral's name for it is "partial 16S ribosomal RNA". It matches the Rfam family "Bacterial small subunit ribosomal RNA", at positions 338 to 795 of the family's 1533-position model. The record is from RNAcentral.
CCUACGGGUGGCAGCAGUCGAGAAUCAUUCACAAUGGGGGAAACCCUGAUGGUGCGACGCCGCGUGGGGGAAUGAAGUUCUUCGGAUUGUAAACCCCUGUCAUGUGGGAGCAAAUUAAAAAGAUAGUACCACACGACGCAGAGACGGCUAACUCUGGGCCAGCAGCCGCGGUAAUACAGAGGUCUCAAGCGUGGUUCGGAAUCACUGGGCGUAACGGGUGCGUAGGCGGUUUCGUAAGUCGUGGGUGAAAGGCGCGGGCUCAACCCGCGGACGGCACAUGAUACUGCGAGACUAGAGUGAGGGAGGGGGAACCGGAAUGCUCGGUGUAGCAGUGAAAUGCGUAGAUAUCGAGAGGAACACUCGUGGCGAAGGCGGGUUCCUGGACAGUAACUGACGCUGAGGCACGAAGGCCAGGGGAGCGAAAGGGAUUAGAUACCCGUGUAGUC